GGUGACCAUAUCACGUUGAAACACCGGUUCUCGUACGAUCACCGAAGUUAAGCAACGUCGAGCCUGGUCAGUACCUAGAUGGGUGACCGCUUGGGAAUACCAGGUACUGUAAG
Molecule: non-coding RNA, 113 nt
Organism: Acanthosepion pharaonis
Lineage: Eukaryota; Metazoa; Mollusca; Cephalopoda; Sepiida; Sepiidae
Source: the annotation of a GenBank genome assembly